GAUCAUGAGUCCCAACGUUAAGCUCUGGCUGGUUGGGCGGCAACCCUCUCCCGUAGUGGGGUGCCCCAGAUGAGGAUCAGGCAGGAAUGCAAGUACGGCGC
Molecule: non-coding RNA, 101 nt
Filed under: Rothia nasimurium
Lineage: Bacteria; Bacillati; Actinomycetota; Actinomycetes; Micrococcales; Micrococcaceae
Description: SAM-IV sequence
Rfam family: SAM (S-adenosyl methionine) riboswitch aptamer
About the family: SAM-IV is a mRNA element that regulates gene expression via direct sensing of S-adenosylmethionine (SAM or AdoMet). SAM-IV riboswitches share conserved nucleotide positions with the previously described SAM-I riboswitches sequence analysis and molecular recognition experiments suggest that SAM-I and SAM-IV riboswitches share similar ligand binding sites, but have different scaffolds.
Source: Rfam by way of RNAcentral